GCCGCUAUGGUGAAAUCGGUAGACACGCUGC
Molecule: transfer RNA, 31 nt
Filed under: Cannabis sativa
Lineage: Eukaryota; Viridiplantae; Streptophyta; Magnoliopsida; Rosales; Cannabaceae
Also listed under: 2 other names
Description: partial tRNA-Leu
Source: RNAcentral